This is a non-coding RNA of Pelobates cultripes (western spadefoot toad), 211 nucleotides long. The record is from the annotation of a GenBank genome assembly. Lineage: Eukaryota; Metazoa; Chordata; Amphibia; Anura; Pelobatidae.
CACCAUUUGGUGCAACCUGUUUUUUUAUCUCUACCUUUAAUACACAAAACAAUUCCUACAGUGAUUCCUCAUUCCUAUACUAGCACCCUUUACACUAUACCAGGGGUAGUCAACCUGGUCCCUAAAGCCCAUUAGUGGGCGGUUUAGGAUUUCAGGUGGGCGAUGGUGGGUUCUGCAGAAAACGCCAAGUGGGCCUUGAUGGCUGUGGACC